Molecule: transfer RNA, 84 nt
Filed under: Candidatus Moraniibacteriota bacterium
Lineage: Bacteria; Candidatus Moraniibacteriota
Description: tRNA-Leu
Rfam family: tRNA
About the family: Transfer RNA (tRNA) molecules are approximately 80 nucleotides in length. Their secondary structure includes four short double-helical elements and three loops (D, anti-codon, and T loops).
Source: RNAcentral
GCCUCGGUGGUGGAAUUGGUAGACACACUAGCUUCAGGUGCUAGCGUUCGCAAGGACAUGGGGGUUCGAGUCCCCCCUGAGGCA